This 301-nucleotide ribosomal RNA is filed under the name uncultured bacterium. RNAcentral's name for it is "partial 16S ribosomal RNA". It matches the Rfam family "Bacterial small subunit ribosomal RNA", at positions 509 to 809 of the family's 1533-position model. The record is from RNAcentral.
CAGCCGCCGCGGGAAUACGUAGGGUGCAAGCGUUAAUCGGAAUUACUGGGCGUAAAGCGUGCGCAGGCGGUUCUAUAAGACAGAUGUGAAAUCCCCUGGCUCAACCUGGGAACUGCAUUUGUGACUGUAGAGCUGGAGUGCGGCAGAGGGGGAUGGAAUUCCGCGUGUAGCAGUGAAAUGCGUAGAUACGCGGAGGAACACCGAUGGCGAAGGCAAUCCCCUGGGCCUGCACUGACGCUCAUGCACGAAAGCGUGGGGAGCAAACAGGAUUAGAUACCCCGGUAGUCCCUGUCUCUUAUAA